Molecule: ribosomal RNA, 484 nt
Filed under: uncultured bacterium
Lineage: Bacteria
Description: partial 16S ribosomal RNA
Rfam family: Bacterial small subunit ribosomal RNA
Source: RNAcentral
AUUGAACGCUGGCGGCAGGCCUAACACAUGCAAGUCGAGCGGAUGAAGGGAGCUUGCUCCUGGAUCCAGCGGCGGACGGGUGAGUAAUGCCUAGGAAUCUGCCUGGCAGUGGGGGAUAACGUCUGGAAACGGGCGCUAAUACUGCAUACGUCCUGCGGCAGAUAGUGGGGGAUCGUCGGACCUCACGCUAGCAGAUGAGCCUAGGUCGGAUUAGCUAGUUGGUGGGGUAAAGGCCUACCAAGGCGGCGAUCCGCAACUGGUCUGAUUGGAUGAUCAGUCACACUGGAGCUGGGCCGCGGUCCUUGCUCCUACGGGACGCAGCAGUGGGGUAUGUUGGGCAGUAGGCGAAAACAUGAUACAGCGGUGCCAAGUGUGUGGCAAAGGUGCUCGGAGUGUGAAGAAGUUCAUGUUGGGGGAAAGCGCAGUAGGUUGAUACCUUGCUGUUUUGACGUUACCAGCAGAAUAAGCACCGGCUAACUACGUG